GUCGGUGAGUGACGCCUAUCAGCGAUAUCAGGUCGUGUCUGGGCGCGGUUCGUACUUCGAUGCGCGACCGCUAUGGCCCUACCGGGAUGGCCUUACCGGUACGGACCCUAAGUAGGUUUACCCCCACCGAUGGGUGACCACUAUCGAUAGAUGUCUACGCUCUAGCGACGACCUCGUGGAACCCCUAUAAUCGGAUACGCCCCCCCCUCCG
RNAcentral lists this ribosomal RNA (211 nucleotides) under Omophoita sexnotata. The record is from RNAcentral. Lineage: Eukaryota; Metazoa; Arthropoda; Insecta; Coleoptera; Chrysomelidae.